AAUCCAGAUCCAAAAUUCUAAAACACCUAAAAAUCAAAUACAUUUUCUAAAAAAGAAAAAAAAAUCACAAACUAAGCAGUGAGUGAAACCACCCAUCGGCCUCCUUAAUUUGCUUAUCAGCAAUUUUCGACACAAGCUGUGACUUUAGUAUCGAUCCGGCCUAUGAAAAAGGAAGAUAAAGAUAAAAACCUGGAAAUCAUUCAUAACUUAUCACAGAUAACCAGAAAACUUGAAUGAACAAAUGUUUUUGUGUGUGCAGGAUCCCAUAGUCGCAAAUGACCAGGAUCCCAUUGUCCCAAAUGACCACUUCUAAACCUUAGAAAUGAGUAUGUUUUUAUGUUCAAAGAAGUUAUCAUGCAAUGCUUUCUACAAAAGAAUAACAUAAUAGGGAAUGUCGGAUAAAAUUCUCCAUUAAAUAAUUCCCCAACAGAAAUUUGUUUGAAUUUUGUCUUCAAAUUUUGUCUUCAAUCUGUUUGAAUUUUUAGCUUUCAGUAAAAAUAUUACAGAGAUCACAGCUAGUUAAUAUUGAAUCCAAUUUUUCGAAAAUGGGGAGAGCAUGAGAACAAGAAUACCGAGCAUAUGUACUUGCAGUGAUGAACCGUAAAUGAAUGAACAAGGCUAUGGAGUUCAAAACAUUCAGACAAAAGAAGUACCGGAUAUUCAAAUGAAAAAACAAUAACUUGUUCUCUAGCUUUACUCCACCAUUUAAGUGCUCUCUAAUGUCAUGCAUGCAGUAACAUCGGUCAAGCUCUUGCUCUCAACUGCAUAAUCAAACACUUCAUAAGUAAUUAACUUGGAUUUCUUGUUUGGAGCUAAGAUAAGCCACCCAAAACAUGCUCUCAGUCAAAACUACUCUAACCUAGUCUAUUUCAACCUCUGUUUUUAAUAUUGUUUAUCCUAGAAUACACCUUUAGUUUUGGAUCACAAACUGUCACCCGAAGCUCAAAGUUUCGCCAUAAAAUACUCUCUGCAGAACCUAUUUAAUUAAUAUUACUUUUGUCAGUGGUGUAUGACUUGAAAGAUAACAAAACUAAAUUAUAGGAUGAAGAUUUAGUUUAUGAUAUAACACAAAAUAGUGAUAGUCCCUUCUAGAAUCCCAAACUAUUAAUUUAAAGGUAGUUAAAGACAGAUACACAAGUUGUUGGGCAAUGGACAGAUAGGAACGAUUACAAAACAACAUGAUGCAAAGCACCUCCAGCAUCUCAAUAACACUCUCCAAUCAAAUUUUCUACAGUUGUUCCAGGAAAUUUUGAAGGAGAAUAAAAACAGAGAAAAAAGUAAUUCCAGUGGAUACAUGAUUUCUCACUUGGAAAAUGGGAUUCUGAUACACCAGUCAACAGCACCAAUGAGGUUAAUUCAAUGACUAGUAAACAAAUUCAUCAAGCCGCGAAUAAGGUUCAUUUAUACCUCCAACAUAAUAAAGGAUAUAACAAAUAUGGUGAAUUGAAUGUGGACAUUUAAAUAAGGUUCAUUUAAAUGUUCAAAACAAAUCCAAGAUAAGCACUAAACCAACCAAUUUGAACGUGGACAAAUUCACAAAAGUCAGCCCCUUUCCGGACGAAAUGCUUCAGUUCCUAAAAACUUACACAAGUCUCUGUGUGUAAUGAGAUGGGGAACGAAUUUGGUAAUUCUAAAAGGAUAACUUCAUAUACAAUAACAUAUUAAAAAGGAAGAAUCUACUUUCAUAAACCACUAUGCCUAAAACUUACACAAAAUUGAAUGUAAUGCCCAGAAUUGAAGAGGACCUGUGUUGCAUCAAAUUCAAGUGCAUACAGAUGUGACAAUCCAAGUAAGAGCCCUAAAAAAAAAAAAAAAACCUUCUUAAGGAAGUGAAGAAGAAACAAUCUCCACCGAUCACCCGAUUCAAACCGUAUAUGCUUCAAAAUUUCCUUUUCACAAAUUAGAAAAAAAAAAGUGAUAAA
RNAcentral lists this long non-coding RNA (1922 nucleotides) under Olea europaea (common olive). Its description in RNAcentral is "long non-coding RNA (OEUR_LNC001714)". The record is from RNAcentral. Lineage: Eukaryota; Viridiplantae; Streptophyta; Magnoliopsida; Lamiales; Oleaceae.